RNAcentral lists this ribosomal RNA (422 nucleotides) under uncultured bacterium. RNAcentral's name for it is "bacterial SSU rRNA". It matches the Rfam family "Bacterial small subunit ribosomal RNA", at positions 355 to 774 of the family's 1533-position model. The record is from RNAcentral.
UGAGGAAUAUUGGGCAAUGCCCGCAAGGGUGACCCAGCAACGCCGCGUGGAGGAUGAAUGUCGUAAGAUUGUAAACUCCUGUUAGAGGGGAAGAAUAGUACCGGUUGGACCGGUAUAUGACUGUACCCUCAGAGAAAGCCCCGGCUAACUACGUGCCAGCAGCCGCGGUAAUACGUAGGGGGCAAGCGUUGUCCGGAUUUACUGGGUGUAAAGGGCGAGCAGGCGGGAUAAAAAGUCAGUGGUGAAAUCCUACAGCUUAACUGUAGAACUGCCUGUGAUACUUUUAUUCUUGAGUUCGGGAGAGAGAGACGGAAUUCCAGGUGUAGUGGGUAAAUACGUAGAGAUCUGGAAGAACACCAGUUGCGAAGGCGGUCUCUUGGUCCGACACUGACGCUGAGGCGCGAAAGCGUGGGGAGCAAACA